AAGCAAGAAAAUGGAUCCAAAUCCAGAAAAAGAAAAUUUUGCGAAUUCUCUAUUUUGUUUUUUUUGAUAUGUAGAUGAAGACUUUUGUUUUUUUUUCAUAUGUAUAUGAGGACUUUUGUUUAAUUUUCAUAUGUAUAUGAAGACUUUGUUUUUUUCAUAUCUAUAUGAAGACUUUUGUUUAAUUUUCAAGAGAAUUCUCUAUUGUAUUGUUUUUGUUGACACUAAUCUGUAUCUGUAGGAGAUUCUCGUUGUUUUUUGUAUCAGUAAUCCGAUUUAUAUGAUCUAUGUAGUUGAUAUCCUCACCAAGAAUGUUGUAAUCAAUGAUGUUUUCCAAGAAAUUUAUGUUCUAUAAUCUAUUCUUGAAAAUAAUCCGUAUGCGUAGAUUUAUUUCAUUUAUUAUUUGUUUGAUUAACAUACAUUCUUUAUCAAGUAUUUUCUCAUGGUUAUCAGAAGAAUAUGGGAAAGCUCAGCAACUAGCUGAGGCAAUUGCUUCAGGUGAAAAACUUGAUAGGAAAGUAUAUCGGAUUCGUAAUAAAGAACUUGUCAAAUUCAUUGACUAAGAUUUCGAAGGGAUGAAGGACAUUCACAUAAUCUCAAAAUCCAAUCUUCUGAAUCAUUCAUUUCUGGACUUGGUGGGUACUGUUGAUGAAGUUAAACUUACUGAAGAACUCAUCCUAGAGAAUGUUCUAAAGGUAAUUAAACUCCCUUGAUUUUGCAAAAAAAAAAAAAAAAAAAAAAAAAAAAAAAAAAAAAAAAAAAAACUUUCGUCUUUCUGACCAAUGUUUCCAUUAACCGUAGUUUGUGCUAUCCAGUAAUUCUGAUGCCACAAGCAAUUUGUAUGGACCACAUCAAAAUCCACCUCCACAAGUUGAGAAAUAUAUACUAUACUGGACAUAAAACAAGAAGGGCAUUUUGGUCAUUACUUGUCUGAAGCCUUCUUUUCUCUGAAUCUGUUUAUAUAUAGGUUCUUUUCCUGGUGUUUGGGAAUGGGAGAGAGUAGUGAAUAUAUUUGGUCCACGUGAAAAUGUUAACAAGGCUAAGUUGUUAAUUUAGUCAGUAAUGUGAUGUAAUUAUUUAUUUUUUAAAUCUAAAUGAUGAAAUACUUUUCAAAAGCUAUGGGAUAACAUUCCAUGUGUUGCUUUUUGUCAUAGUUACUCUGAUAGAUUUUUUUUCAUUCUCUACUUUAUUUAUAAGAACCCAUCCCAAUUAUCCAUAUAAUACUCAUUUUCCAUAUUUUUUGUUGUUUCAGAGUCAAGAUGUGAAAGAAGCUAUUCAAAAAGUUGUUGCAACAUACAAUUGCAAAAUUGUUGAAGGUGUUCCUCCGGAGUUGGAAUGUGAGAUUCCAUUCCUUGAGGUGUUUGGUUGGUAAACGAAUGGAGUUGAAUUCAAUUCCAUUCUCCUUACAAACUCUUCUAACCUAACACGUGACACAUUUCAAUUUCUUCAAAUUCCAAUUCCUUUGACCGAUUCCAUUCCUUUGACCGAUUCCAUUCCUUUUACGGAUUCCAUUCCUUUGACCGAUCAUCAAGUCGUUCAUACAUCCAAUUUCUAUUUCUAUUGCUCAUUUUAUUAUAUCUGCACACAAAUAUCAAAAACUAGUCGUAAUCGGAGAGUAAUAAAAGAUUAGGAAACAAACUUACUAACCUUAUUGCUUGAAAUGAAAAUAUUAAUCUAGGAAAAUAACAUAGUAGAUUUUCAUUAAACAAGUAUUUAAAUCCAUAUCCUCGUCAAGAUAGAACAACCUACUCUAAAAAAAGUGUGUAAUAUAGCACCAUACUUUCAUUUUUUUCUAUUAAACUUGAAAAUUAUUAAAUUGCCCUUUUGUUGUCACCAGAUGAGGUGCAGAUGGUUAAGUUAGCUGAUAAAGAAAGAGAAAACCUAGAGGUUAUAACUUAUAACAUGCUUUCUAGAUUAUAUGCUUAUUCACCAACUUUAAUUACUAAUAAUUACUAAUAAGUUCAUUUCUUUGUCUCUUUUUCAUAUUUCCAACUCUACCCUUGUUGUCAAAUUACUAAAUAGUUCUCAAAGUAACAGCAAACAUAUUCAACAAGGGAGAGAGUUAUACUUUGUAACUAUUGAACUUGAAAAAAAAUGGUAUGCUUGUCUAGAGGAGCUCUAUGGAAUGGAAUCAUUAUCAGCAAAUAUCUACAACCUUGGUAUUCUCUUAUUUGAGUUACUCUCCUCAUUUGCAUCAUUAGAGAUGCAUUCUGCAUCAAUGUCAUAUUUACAAUACCAGAUCCUUCCACCCUUCAUCUCAAAAUCCACAAGAAUCUGCCUUCUGUCUUUGGCUCCUUCAUCCUCACCCUUCAUCUCGCCCAACAACCAGGUAUUCUCUCUCUCUCUCUCUCUCUCUCUCUCUCUCUCUCUCUCUCUCUCUCACACACACACACACACACACACAUCAUUUUAUCAAAUCUUUCAAAAACUUUUUAAUCUAUAACAUUUAAAUCUGUAUCAGGGAAAUCCUACAAUCUGAGUUAUUAAAUGGAACCAAAGAAUUCUACUCCAAGAACACUUAUUCUCAAAAAAAUGAUGAGUUUAUGGGAACAUAGUCAAGCAUAACAAAUUAGAGAGUAUGAGAAGUAAAAACAUAGUCAAACAUAACAAACUAAUGACAUUUAGCAUAUCAGAUUGCAACAGUUGCAGGGGGGUCUCAUUAUGGAGACAUCAAUGAAUCAAAGGCAGCAAAAAAAAAUCACACACCU
Molecule: long non-coding RNA, 2705 nt
Organism: Lactuca sativa (garden lettuce)
Lineage: Eukaryota; Viridiplantae; Streptophyta; Magnoliopsida; Asterales; Asteraceae
Source: RefSeq, a predicted model, not a curated record